CACGCCCUAAACGAUGUCAACUAGCUGUUGGGGGUUGAAAUCCUCAGUAGCGCAGCUAACGCGAGAAGUUGACCGCCUGGGGAGUACGACCGCAAGGUUAAAACUCAAAGGAAUUGACGGGGACCCGCACAAGCGGUGGAUGAUGUGGAUUAAUUCGAUGCAACGCGAAAAACCUUACCUGGUCUUGACAUGCUAAGAAUUUCUUAGAGAUAGGAAAGUGCCCGAAAGGGAACUUAGACACAGGUGC
Molecule: ribosomal RNA, 247 nt
Filed under: uncultured bacterium
Lineage: Bacteria
Description: partial 16S ribosomal RNA
Rfam family: Bacterial small subunit ribosomal RNA
Source: RNAcentral